CCAAUAGCGUAUAUUAAAGUUGUUGCAGUUAAAAAGCUCGUAGUUGAAUUUCGGGAUCAAGUCGUCGGUCGUGCCUCGGUACGCACUGGUGACAUUGGUUUCUCCCUUCUGAAGAACCUUGAUGUCAUUAAUUUGGUGUCUUGGGGAAUCAGGACUGUUACUUUGAAAAAAUUAGAGUGUUUAAAGCAGGCUCACGCUUGAAUACAUUAGCAUGGAAUAAUGAAAUAGGACGUUUGAUUCUAUUUUGUUGGUUUCUAGGAUUGACGUAAUGAUUAAUAGGGAUAGUUGGGGGCAUUAGUAUUCAAUUGUCAGAGGUGAAAUUCUUGGAUUUAUUGAAGACUAACUACUGCGAAAGCAUUUGCCAAGGAUGUUUUCAUUAAUCAAGAACGAAAGUUAGGGGAUCGAAGACGAUCAGAUACCGUCGUAGUCUUAACCAUAAACUAUGCCGACUAGGGAUCGGAUGAUGUUAAUUUUUUAAUGACUCAUUCGGCGCCUUACG
Molecule: unclassified non-coding RNA, 499 nt
Filed under: uncultured Glomus
Lineage: Eukaryota; Fungi; Glomeromycota; Glomeromycetes; Glomerales; Glomeraceae
Description: SSU rRNA
Rfam family: Eukaryotic small subunit ribosomal RNA
Source: RNAcentral